UACGUAUGGGGCAAGCGUUAUCCGGAUUUACUGGGUGUAAAGGGAGCGCAGGCGGCCUGGCAAGCCUGAUGUGAAAUACCGGGGCCCAACCCCGGGGCUGCAUUGGGAACUGCCAGGCUGGAGUGCCGGAGAGGUAGGCGGAAUUCCUAGUGUAGCGGUGAAAUGCGUAGAUAUUAGGAGGAACACCAGUGGCGAAGGCGGCCUACUGGACGGUGACUGACGCUGAGGCUCGAAAGCGUGGGGAGCAAACAGG
RNAcentral lists this ribosomal RNA (253 nucleotides) under uncultured bacterium. Its description in RNAcentral is "partial 16S ribosomal RNA". It matches the Rfam family "Bacterial small subunit ribosomal RNA", at positions 524 to 776 of the family's 1533-position model. The record is from RNAcentral.